UACGUAGGGGGCUAGCGUUGUCCGGAUUUAUUGGGCGUAAAGAGCGUGUAGGCGGCCAGGUAGGUCUGGUGUGAAAACUCGAGGCUUAACCUCGAGAUGUCAUCGGAAACCAUCUGGCUAGAGUCCGGAAGAGGAGAGUGGAAUUCCUGGUGUAGCGGUGAAAUGCGUAGAUAUCUGGAGGAACACCGGUGGCGAAGGCGGCAUCCUGGACCGGUAUUGACGCUGAGGCGCGAAAGCCAGGGGAGCAAACGGG
Molecule: ribosomal RNA, 253 nt
Filed under: uncultured bacterium
Lineage: Bacteria
Description: partial 16S ribosomal RNA
Rfam family: Bacterial small subunit ribosomal RNA
Source: RNAcentral